This 366-nucleotide ribosomal RNA is filed under the name Peachia sp. USNM IZ 1448830. RNAcentral's name for it is "SSU rRNA". It matches the Rfam family "Eukaryotic small subunit ribosomal RNA", at positions 51 to 414 of the family's 1831-position model. RNAcentral also lists the same sequence under 8 other names. Lineage: Eukaryota; Metazoa; Cnidaria; Anthozoa; Actiniaria; Haloclavidae. The record is from RNAcentral.
AUGCAUGUCUAAGUAUAAGCACUUGUACUGUGAAACUGCGAAUGGCUCAUUAAAUCAGUUAUCGUUUAUUUGAUUGUACCCCUUACUACUUGGAUAACCGUGGUAAUUCUAGAGCUAAUACAUGCGAAAAGUCCCGACUUCUGGAAGGGAUGUAUUUAUUAGAUUCAAAACCAAUGCGGGUUCUGCCCGGUUGUUUGGUGAUUCAUAAUAACUGUUCGAAUCGCACGGCCUCGCGCUGGCGAUGUUUCAUUCAAAUUUCUGCCCUAUCAACUGUCGAUGGUAAGGUAUUGGCUUACCAUGGUUACAACGGGUGACGGAGAAUUAGGGUUUGAUUCCGGAGAGGGAGCCUGAGAAACGGCUACCACA